Molecule: unclassified non-coding RNA, 253 nt
Filed under: Hevea brasiliensis (rubber tree)
Lineage: Eukaryota; Viridiplantae; Streptophyta; Magnoliopsida; Malpighiales; Euphorbiaceae
Source: RNAcentral
UGACAAUACCCAUCUAUAAUGACUGUAUAAGUUAUUUUAUUAGGUUGUAUAUUGUGUGAUAACAUUUCCUGCAAAAUGCUCCUUGCUUUAUCCAUCUGACCUAACUUACAAUAUCCACCUAUCAAUGCAGUAUAACAAACAACAUCAGGUAGAACUCCCUCCUUACGCAUCCCAUCAAUAAGGUUCUCAGCAUCUUCAAUAAGCCCAAUAUUGCUCAUGCCAUGUAUAAGAGAGGAAUAAGUGACAACAUUUG